This is a long non-coding RNA of Solanum pennellii, 1728 nucleotides long. RefSeq lists it as uncharacterized. The transcript has 2 exons. NCBI's taxonomy places the organism in Eukaryota, Viridiplantae, Streptophyta, Magnoliopsida, Solanales, Solanaceae. The record is from RefSeq and is a predicted model, not a curated record.
CCCAGUACAAGGAAUCGAUCUUGUCCCUCCACCUUGCCUCAAAUCCGUUCGAUAUCGUUUAGAAUCUGGGGAAUAUGCGAUUUUUCGGAUAAAGUUUUGGUUUUUGAAUUCAAAAUGGGCCAAGGGUGAUCCGGAUUUUUCAUCUUUCCUUCCAAAAAAGUUUGGAACCGUAAUUCCCCUCUGUAUAUACUCUUUACAUUUCCUUUGAGAAGGGCGAUUUUUUUCUUCACUUGGGAGAAUUGUUCCUGAGAAGAGAAUAUUCACACCAGUUUAAGAAAAAUAGGCAAGAAUAUAUAUAAAAAACACGUCUUAGUUCUAUUCGAGUCGUGUGGUGGAAGCCGUUCCAAGCUCGUUUGGCUGCCCCGGAGAAGAGCCCCUCAGGAUUUCUCACUUCCUCUUGCAUCCUUUUAAUGAGCCAUGAAGGUUCAAUUUUUUCCCACGAGUCAGCCACCUCCCUCAAAAUCGGCGGACAGGUUCAAAGCAGCGAUAUACUCCUAGAAGUUAAUUUUCCAGCCGAAAAGUCAAAAAAUAUAUUGAUAUACCAGUUGUAUACAAUGGUAUACAGUCGGAAUAUACAACAUUCAGGUCAUAAAUGUGCCAACACAGGGGGAAAACGCAGAAAAUCAAAAUCCUAAUAAAUUACAGGUUUGGGAGUCCAAAAAUCAACAGCAUACGUGAUGUACACAUCAAAUUUACAUUUGAUGUAUAUCAUGGCAAAUAGGGACAAAAGGGAUAAAAUGGCACAACAUAACAUCUUAUACAUUAAAUUAGCAAUAAAUAGCCUACUUUUGAUUUUUUAGCAAAAAACGACUUUUUUUUUUAUUUAUUUGGCAUUGAAUAGUUAUUUUUCUUUUUUUUUAAAAAAAUAUAUAUAUAUUUCUGUUCUCCUUAUUUUUCUCAAACACAUUUAACAUUUCUAUUUUACCUCCUUAAAUUUAUUUUGUCAACAAUUUUAAAAUAGAGUUUUUUUUGUCUAGUUUUUCUCUUUCGAGAAUCCUUUACAUAGUUCUAUACACAAUUCUCUUCGUAAUUUCAACUCUUCUACAUAAUUCAAUCUGUUUAUGAAAAUCAGAUUUAACAAUAUGUUUUUUUCAUGGAUACUUCUAAAAAUCAUCUUUAUAUUUAUUUUUUUUCUUGUCAAAUUAAUUGUUGAAUUUCAUGAUUUAUAGAAUUGAAUUUUUUUUCAAAUUUGUUUUUGUGAAUUAGAUUAUUCUACCUUUUUUUGUUUUCUUUCUAAAAUUUAUUUCAUAUGUAACUUUGCUUCUCUUCUAAAUUUUCUAUUAGUCUCCUAAAUUUACUAUGUCUAUGCAAAUCAGAUAUAACUGAAUGUUUAUUGAUUGAUCUUUCUAACAAUUUUUUUAGUAGAUAAUUAUGUAGCAUUUCUUGUCCCAUUAAUUUUGAAAUUUUGUCAUUUGUGAAAUUAAAGUUUUUAAAACUUUUUUUUGAUGAAAAUUCAGGUAAUAGUUUUUUGAAAUUUUUGUUCUAAAUUUCAUGGGUGAGAAAGAUCUUCGUAAAAGAGCAGAAUGAUAAUUUGAUGAAUACAACCCAAUGUACACUAAUGAAUUCUUAUCUCAAUUUAAAUUAAAGUACAUUAGUUUAUUAUAUGAGUACAAAUUACUGAAUACAAGAUGAACGAACUAAUGUAUAUAUAAUGCAGUUACCGUAUGCAUAAACAAAAUCAGAUGUACAAUUAAUGAUUAAACUUUACAACAUGUCAUAUUAAUCUCA